UGGCGGAUUGUGUAGCGGUAGCACAACGGUCUUUGGAGCCGUUUGGGGUGGUUCGAAUCCACCUCCGCCAACCA
This 74-nucleotide transfer RNA is filed under the name Candidatus Omnitrophota bacterium. RNAcentral's name for it is "Candidatus Omnitrophica bacterium tRNA-Gln". It matches the Rfam family "tRNA". From Rfam's summary of the family: Transfer RNA (tRNA) molecules are approximately 80 nucleotides in length. Their secondary structure includes four short double-helical elements and three loops (D, anti-codon, and T loops). The record is from RNAcentral. Lineage: Bacteria; Pseudomonadati; Candidatus Omnitrophota.